Molecule: long non-coding RNA, 1176 nt
Organism: Mugil cephalus (flathead mullet)
Lineage: Eukaryota; Metazoa; Chordata; Actinopteri; Mugiliformes; Mugilidae
Exons: 3
Source: RefSeq, a predicted model, not a curated record
GUGGCUUUAACCACAGAAUGGGCCACAGAUGCAGUGAGAGGUGUCACGACAACACUAUGACGACUAAAUGCGUCCACAUCUCAGCAUAUCAAUAGCAGCACAGGUCUCUUUAAAGCCGCGGAUUUCAAGAUUUUGUGAUUUACUCGAGUUCAUUAAGCAGAACGCCGCAUUUAAAGCCAUCAAUACGUGCCAGUUUGAUCCGGCCGGGUGUGAUAUUAUUUCUUUCCUGUUUUCCAGGUGACUGGAUCAAAGCUGAACUUGGCUGCCGGCGGCGCUGUGUGCUCUGACCAUGGCUGUUGUUGUGGCCUUCGUGCACAGUUGGCAGCUCACCCUCCUCAUCCUGGCAAGUGCGCACUUCCUGAGGCCAGCUUCAUUCAAAUGAGGCCAGCGGUGGGACAUUCCUCCGAGGACCAAAGUGAUGCUGCAACAGUGUGUGAAGGUGCUAACGAAAUUUCAACAAAACAUUUGGAGACUGCCUGUGAUGGGUUCAGAGAACAUCCACCGCACUGACGACAUGUGCAGGACUAAAUGAGGCCUCCUCAGUGUGUGCUCCUCUCCGGCUUUGAAGUGCCGCUGUGACACGGGCGACCAAUCAGCGGCUCCGUCCCUCCGCACUGCCGCACACCACCGUGAGGUCAUCAAUAGAGCGCCUCAGACAGCUCUCCACCCUCCUCCAGCCCCCCGCCGCCCCCUCCAUAAUAAAAGACAGCGGAAGGAAGGUAAAGUUAAAUGAGAGUGAAUUAGGAAGGAGGAAUUAGGGGGCCACUUAUUGAAAUUUUACAGAACAUCACAUUCCAUAAAUUUAAAGAAGGAGGAAGGAUGACUUUGGGGAGCGGUGAUGUAGGAUUGUGGUUGGCAGGUUAUACCUCAUAACAGCUACGGAUACAGUAAAUAAACUCUUCUGGAAGUUCUAUUCAAAUAGCCUUGUUUGUUCUUUUAUGCAAAUAUUUGCAACUUUAUCCUCCGCUUGUGCGCGUUCGGAAAUCUCACUGCACUCUGCCUGAUUUUUUUUAAAUACGUGUGUUUUUACCUAAAGUUUUUUUCUUUUCUUUUUUUUCUCCUUUUUUUUAUUUGCAUCUUCCUCGCAUCAGAAAAUUAUUCUGGCUGCGGCGUAAUAUCCCCCGCAGGGUUUUUGCACGUUUUCACUUCAUUUUAAGUUAAUAUACACAAACUAUU